CGCAGACCCCGCCUCAGGGCUGCAGAGCCGUGGGAGAGUCCCAGAGUGGGGCCGGGGCCUCGGCCCGCACCCAGGGAGCCAUCACUUCACUCAUACAGUGUGGAGACUCCUGUGGGCUGCGCCUGGCUCCCAGUGGCCACGGAGCAAAUCCCUUCCACACCAGCAAGUCUCCCCGUGGCCUGUGUGUCCCGGGGUCCCCAGGGAAGCUGCAUUUGACUUGAGACCCUUCC
This 230-nucleotide long non-coding RNA is filed under the name Homo sapiens (human). RNAcentral's name for it is "HSALNT0270339". Lineage: Eukaryota; Metazoa; Chordata; Mammalia; Primates; Hominidae. The record is from RNAcentral.